AACGAACGCUGGCGGCAUGCCUAACACAUGCGAGUCGAACGAGACCUUCGGGUCUAGUGGCGCACGGGUGCGUAACGCGUGGGAACCUGCCCUUAGGUUCGGAAUAACUCCCCGAAAGGGGUGCUAAUACCGGAUAAUGUCUUCGGACCAAAGAUUUAUCGCCUUUGGAUGGGCCCGCGUUGGAUUAGCUAGUUGGUAGGGUAAAAGCCUACCAAGGCGACGAUCCAUAGCUGGUCUGAGAGGAUGAUCAGCCACACUGGGACUGAGACACGGCCCAGACUCCUACGGGAGGCAGCAGUGGGGAAUAUUGGACAAUGGGCGAAAGCCUGAUCCAGCAAUGCCGCGUGAGUGAUGAAGGCCCUAGGGUUGUAAAGCUCUUUUACCCGGGAUGAUAAUGACAGUACCGGGAGAAUAAGCUCCGGCUAACUCCGUG
RNAcentral lists this ribosomal RNA (433 nucleotides) under uncultured bacterium. RNAcentral's name for it is "partial 16S ribosomal RNA". It matches the Rfam family "Bacterial small subunit ribosomal RNA", at positions 29 to 507 of the family's 1533-position model. The record is from RNAcentral.